This 495-nucleotide ribosomal RNA is filed under the name uncultured bacterium. Its description in RNAcentral is "bacterial SSU rRNA". It matches the Rfam family "Bacterial small subunit ribosomal RNA", at positions 38 to 525 of the family's 1533-position model. The record is from RNAcentral.
GGCGGCAUNCUUUACACAUGCAAGUCGAACGGUAACAGGGUGCUUGCACCGCUGACGAGUGGCGAACGGGUGAGUAAUGCGUCGGAACGUGCCGAGUAGUGGGGGAUAACGCAGCGAAAGUUGUGCUAAUACCGCAUACGUACUGAGGUAGAAAGUGGGGGACCUUCGGGCCUCACGCUAUUCGAGCGGCCGACGUCUGAUUAGCUAGUAGGUGAGGUAAAGGCUCACCUAGGCGACGAUCAGUAGCGGGUCUGAGAGGAUGAUCCGCCACACUGGGACUGAGACACGGCCCAGACUCCUACGGGAGGCAGCAGUGGGGAAUUUUGGACAAUGGGCGCAAGCCUGAUCCAGCCAUGCCGCGUGUCUGAAGAAGGCCUUCGGGUUGUAAAGGACUUUUGUCGGGGAGGAAAUCCCUAGCGUUAAUACCGCUGGGGGAUGACAGUACCUGAAGAAUAAGCACCGGCUAACUACGUGCCAGCAGCNNNCGGUAAUNAA